AGAGUUUGAUCAUGGCUCAGAACGUACGCUGGCGGCACGCCUAAUACAUGCAAGUCGAACGAAGUAGCAAUACUUAGUGGCAGACGGGUGAGUAACAUGUAGGUAUCUACCCUUUGGCCUGGAAUAACACGAGGAAACUUGUGCUAAUACCGGAUAAGUCUUUACGGAGAAAGCUUUAUGCACCAUUGGAUGAGCCUGCACUUGAUUAGUUUGUUGGUGGGGUAAUGGCCUACCAAGACAAUGAUCAAUAGCUGAUUUGAGAGGAUGAUCAGCCACAUUGGGACUGAGACACGGCCCAAACUCCUACGGGAGGCAGCAGUAGGGAAUCUUGCACAAUGGAGGAAACUCUGAUGCAGCGAUGCCGCGUGAGUGAAGAAGGCCUUUGGGUUGUAAAGCUCUUUCGUCGGGGAAGAAAAUGACUGUACCCGAAUAAGAAGGUCCGGCUAACUUCGUGCCAGCAGCCGCGGUAAUACGAAGGGACCUAGCGUAGUUCGGAAUUACUGGGCUUAAAGAGUUCGUAGGUGGUUAAAAAAGUUGGUGGUGAAAUCCCAGAGCUUAACUCUGGAACUGCCAUCAAAACUUUUUAGCUAGAGUAUGAUAGAGGAAAGCAGAAUUUCUAGUGUAGAGGUGAAAUUCGUAGAUAUUAGAAAGAAUACCAAUUGCGAAGGCAGCUUUCUGGAUCAUUACUGACACUGAGGAACGAAAGCAUGGGUAGCGAAGAGGAUUAGAUACCCUCGUAGUCCAUGCCGUAAACGAUGUGUGUUAGACGUUGGAAAUUUAUUUUCAGUGUCGCAGCGAAAGCGAUAAACACACCGCCUGGGGAGUACGACCGCAAGGUUAAAACUCAAAUGAAUUGACGGGGACCCGCACAAGUAGUGGAGCAUGUGGUUUAAUUCGAAGAUACGCGCAGAACCUUACCAACACUUGACAUGUUCGUCGCGACUCUAAGAGAUUAGAGUUUUCGGUUCGGCCGGACGAAACACAGGUGCUGCAUGGCUGUCGUCAGCUCGUGUCGUGAGAUGUUGGGUUAAGUCCCGCAACGAGCGCAACCCUUACUUUUAGUUGCCAUCAUUUAGUUGGGCACUCUGAAAGAACUGCCAGUGAUAAGCUGGAGGAAGGUGGGGAUGACGUCAAGUCCUCAUGGCCCUUAUGUGUUGGGCUACACACGUGCUACAAUGGUAUCUACAACAGGAAGCAAGAUGGCAACAUUAAGCAAAUCCCAAAAAGAUACCUCAGUUCGGAUUGCACUCUGCAACUCGAGUGCAUGAAGCUGGAAUUACUAGUAAUCGUGGAUCAGCGUGCCACGGUGAAUACGUUCCCGGGUCUUGUACACACCGCCCGUCACACCAUGGGAGUUGGUUCUACCUUAAGGCAAAAUGUUAACCUUCGGGAAGCAUUUGACCACGGUAUAGUCAGCGACUGGGGUGAAGUCGUAACAAGGUAGCC
RNAcentral lists this ribosomal RNA (1446 nucleotides) under uncultured bacterium. RNAcentral's name for it is "bacterial SSU rRNA". It matches the Rfam family "Bacterial small subunit ribosomal RNA". The record is from RNAcentral.